AACUUGAAAGGAUCCAAGUGACUCUCUUUCUCUCUCUGUCUCUCUCGUGGUCGGGGGGAUUACUAAGGUUGGGCUUCCCAAAUUAAUGAUCACCUACAAAGUUAGUAACGCAGAUGAUACUCGUGUUGAAGAAUCUGUGAUGUUACGUAAACUAUCUGAGAUCAAAAUACGAACGUAAUGAGAAGUGUCAGAUUUUAAAUGCGGAAGACGUAGCUGGGCAGUGGGCGGAGGCGGUGGCGGCGGCAGGCGGGCUGCUCCGUCGAAACCUUCGAAGCAGUCAAAGUCCGAUUUGGCUACUCAGGAGGAAAUCCGUCAGCGUGAAUCGUGCUGCCAUUGGAGGAUGUCACUUUUGGAGUAAACAAAUGCUUAUUUAUUAUUGGAUAGAUAAUACGUUAAUUCAGUGGUCACGUCACCACUAAGAAUAAGAAAUUUUCCUACUCAAAAAUUGACGACUGUUGAA
Molecule: long non-coding RNA, 460 nt
Organism: Malania oleifera
Lineage: Eukaryota; Viridiplantae; Streptophyta; Magnoliopsida; Santalales; Ximeniaceae
Exons: 2
Source: RefSeq, a predicted model, not a curated record